UUUUCACCUAUAUUUGUUAACAGUCUACACCACUGUCAGAACACACACUGCAAAAACAUUGAUCACAUAAAGACUGACAUAAUACAAGUGUAUUUAUGGUUUGUCCAGCAUCUGCAGAUUUUCUCGGUUAUGGUCUAUAUUUGACAUCACCACUGGAAACUUAAAAAAAAUCUUGUGUAUUUAAAGUAACAACUUAAUAUUAUUAAACAAGAAACUUCAGACUACCUGCUAAUAUUAAAUCCUUAGCUGAGCUAACCUUAGCUGUGAGUAUCUGGGGCCAGGUCAUAUUGAUAGCUAUUAGAUAUCAAAGUUUCUCUUGUCACUACUGCCAUUAGAAAGGAGUUACAGUCCCACAACAACUGGCUCCGGAACAGUGAUUGUCCUCCCCUCUUCAACCAUCAGGCUGUCGAACCACAGCAGAUAACUUCUCUGCCUCACUAUUAAGGAGUCUAUAAUUUGUGUUCUCAAUACUUAUUGCUUAUUUGUUUAUUUAUUUAUUAUUAUUUUGUUGUAUUUUUAUACUUUCUCAGCUCAGGCUGGUAAAGUCUGAGGUACAGGCAUAGACAAGCAUGCUCAUUUCUCAAGUGCUGGGAACUUUUGGAUAAUUCUAGAGGUGUUUAAUAAUGCCGCUUUCUGGAGAUUUACAUAAAUAUUGCCCUGAAGGCCUAAUUGCUAUUUUUAUUUAUUUUGUAUUUGCACUGCUUGUUGUCUUUUGGAUAUAGGUUGUUUGCCCAUCUCUGUUGUAUGUGUUUUUUAUGGAUUCUAUUGUGUUUCUGUUAUUACCGUGAAUGCCUGCAAGAAAAUGGAUCUUAGGGCGGGAUAUGGUGACAUGUGUAUUUUGAUAAUACAUUUACUUUGAACUUUGAAUUCUUGAUUCUUUUUCGGGUGAUUCUCUCCAUUUACUUUUCACUGAUCCCGACGUUCUGCUUCGUGAAUUUAUUUUGAAACAGACUUGUACUUAUCACUUACAGGGUAACUGCCGGGAUCAACAGACAGUGUUGCUGUUUUAGAGCUCCAGACACCCUCAUUGGUGCCCUCUGUAGUAAAUGACGAGUUUACCUAUUCUCCCUCUGCAGCGUGGGUUUCUCCCGGUGCUCCGGUUUCGUACCACCCCCACCCCCGACCCACCCUCUGCCGUCCCAAAGACGCGAAGGUUGGAGGAUUAACCGAUUACUGGCUCCAGUACCUACUCUCUGAUAGAAGCAUUGAGAAGAGGGUGUGACUUGAGUGGUGUUGGUCCUUAAUGAUCGAAGCCACCUUUGUGCGGCAUUUGCUUUUGAGGAUUGAUGCCCCUUUUAAAGCAGGACUGGACCCAGGUGUGGAUGAAUGGCAGGAUCCCCAGGAAGAGAUGGAAACAAGAAGUUAAAACGUCAGAAUCAGAGUCUUGGAGCAGUGACUGAGCGACACCACAAGAAAGCACUAAAAGGUUACUAAAAGAAAACUUUCAUGCCCUCUUAAAAGUUUCUUCGCCCAGACAGGUCACACCAGCACAUCACAGCAAUACCCUAAUACUUGUAAUUAUACAGUAUACACCAAAUAAAAUUGAUCCUUGAUAGGUGGACAUGAACUGUGUUGUUCAAGAUUUAGUUAACAGCACCUUUAAACCAAAUGCAUCACCAGUCUCAGACCUGCUCAAUGAGCAAACACUACCAUUCAAGACUUUUACCUAAUUUGACAUGCUUGUCUGUUAUGAGCAUUUAACUCACGGUGGUACAUAUUACCUCAUAUUCAACCGUGAUCAGUAUUCACUCAAACACUUCCCCCUUUCCUUUGCAAGACAUGGUACUGCAUAAUCAGAAGCUGCUGCAGCUGACUGGCUGAAGAGAAGUGCAUUUCCUUUCUCACAUAAACAGGAUUUGGGAGAAGAAUGAAAAGUGAAGAUGGAAACAUGCCAUGAUUCAUUUUGGUACUGCUGGCCAGUUUAACUGUUGCUGCUGCUUGUAAAUUAAAAGGCUGAUUUUAAAGCAGGAUGUCCACAUGGGGAAAAUGAGAGUUACGAGGGCUCAGGCUUGGGCCCAUUUUGUGGCCUAUAUGACACUGAAAUGUUCGAUACAUUAGCAGGCUGAUCAGAAAAUCUAUGUCAAGGACCAAUCUCGCAUUCACUUCUGCAAUUCUUUCACUCACAUAUCUUCAAAUUACAUUGAGGGAGACCUCUGGCUCAUUAUUUGCUUCAUGCCAAAAUGAAGCCCAUCCCUUCCAACACAGCAGCGGAGAGUGACUCCAUUAACACACUUCUGAGCUCAAUCAUAACGUAGCAGAUUAUGGUGCUACUUUGAGGGAGAAACAAGCAGAAGCCAUUUAGACAUCUGGACAAGCCUUGGAAGGUCAGGCUCCCUUUGUUCAAGCCCCAGCUGGUUCGGGUGACUGCCAUCGUGGCUUUGAAUGCCAGAGUUAAUGGUGCUUGCAGGAAAUCAGAGCACUAUAGCAGUCUGCACUGUGUCACAGUCCUUCCAUGUACGGCGUUGCUUGAGAUUGUCUCCGCUGCAGCUUCCCAUCAAGAUAGGUAGCAUUCUGUAGGAGCACUGGCCCUGACAAAGGCACAGGGAAACCAGACAAUAGUGAAUCUUGUACCAAUUGCUUCUUAACAUCACUGGUUAUUUGCCUCUAAAACAUGAGUCAGGCCACAAAAUGCCCUGGUUGAGUUUAGGCAGAGUGAGUGACUGCCUGAUAAACUGGUGAUUUUGGCGGGUACUGCAAACCCCCCUGUGAAAAUCUUGCUAACUAACAGAUUUUCAUUUUCAGAUACUGUUGACUUCAUUCAAAGCAAAGAUCAAUAGAUUUCAGUAAGUUAAAGGUCUGGAGAGAUAAGGAGACUAUACUGGGAAAAAACACUGAGGCAGAAGAUCUACCAUGAUAUUGAUGAAGGGUGGGACAGGACCAAAGAGCUCAAGGCCUCUCCUCCUAUAUUUAAAUUUUUAUUUUCCCUUUUCUGGUCUUAAUGUGCAAUCUGUAUUCCACUUUGGUGUUCAAGGAAAACAGCCAGCCAGAUUGUUUUUAACACAUGCCAUUAUUAAAACAGUCCACUCUAUAAAGGUACAGUAAAUCCCACUGUGUUGUAAUGCAACGUUUAAUGUAGCUCCUGGUCAGGUGAUGAAUUUGGUAUGAGCAGCAACUUGUUGAUUCUCAAUGACUGCUCAGUCCUUUGCAGUGUGUGCUAAAUUUGACAAUGUAGUCAAGUAUAUAACUACAUUCGCUGUUUGAUCAAAAUGUAGCAUCAUUCACUGAGUUAUCAUGGAUGGAUGUUUGGAUUGCCACAGUGAGCUAUACUCCUUGACAGGAGUCAAACAGAGCUGCAUCAUCAUGCCUACACUAUUUACCAUCUUUACUGCUGCCUUCCUUCAUCUUAUUGGCCAGGAGCUGUCCCAAUCAUGUACAGAAUGGACAACAUCUGUUUCAACCUCAACCGGUUGAAGGCCAAGAACAUGGUCAGCAUCAGCAGUAUCAUGGUGCUUAUAAAUCCUAAUUACAAUGCAGCUGGACUUGAGAUAUCUUUCUAUAUUAUUGCAAUGUAUUCUAAAGUGAUUAAUUUGUCAAGCAAAGUCUCAAUCCAGACUUCAGUCUUACACAGAUUUUCAUCAGAUCAUCUAUUUGUUUAGUUAGCAACUUUACUGAGUGAUCUGGUUUCCACUUAUAUCCUAAAACAUGAGGGUUGGUAGGUUAAUAGGCCUCAACUAACUGGGACAUGCCCUCUUCUCAUUGCUACCAUCUGAGAGGAGGAACAGGAGCCUGAAGAUGCAGACUCAACAUUUUAGGAACAGCUGCUUCCCCUCUGCCAUCAGAUUUCUGAACAAAUAAUGAACCCAUGAAUGCUAACUCACUAUUUUGCUCUCUGUUUCCACAACUUAUUUAUAUUUCAAUGUAUUUCUUAUUGUACUUUAUAGCACAUUUUAUGUAUUCUAUUGCCCUGCUGCAACAAAACAACAAAUUUCAGGACACACCUCUGUGAUAAUAUACCUGACUCUGAUUCUAACUGCUGGUAAUAACAAUGACAUUGCAUCAGUUUCCUUUGCCUCUCAAUGAACUAAAAUUAUGGAAACAAAUUUUGUGGAAUC
Molecule: long non-coding RNA, 4052 nt
Organism: Hypanus sabinus (Atlantic stingray)
Lineage: Eukaryota; Metazoa; Chordata; Chondrichthyes; Myliobatiformes; Dasyatidae
Exons: 5
Source: RefSeq, a predicted model, not a curated record